This 465-nucleotide ribosomal RNA is filed under the name Vreelandella stevensii. Its description in RNAcentral is "partial 16S ribosomal RNA". It matches the Rfam family "Bacterial small subunit ribosomal RNA", at positions 338 to 795 of the family's 1533-position model. The record is from RNAcentral. Lineage: Bacteria; Pseudomonadati; Pseudomonadota; Gammaproteobacteria; Oceanospirillales; Halomonadaceae.
CCUACGGGGGGCUGCAGUGGGGAAUAUUGGACAAUGGGGGCAACCCUGAUCCAGCCAUGCCGCGUGUGUGAAGAAGGCCCUCGGGUUGUAAAGCACUUUCAGUGAGGAAGAACGCCUGGUGGUUAAUACCCAUCAGGAAAGACAUCACUCACAGAAGAAGUACCGGCUAACUCCGUGCCAGCAGCCGCGGUAAUACGGAGGGUGCGAGCGUUAAUCGGAAUUACUGGGCGUAAAGCGCGCGUAGGUGGCUUGAUAAGCCGGUUGUGAAAGCCCCGGGCUCAACCUGGGAACGGCAUCCGGAACUGUCAAGCUAGAGUGCAGGAGAGGAAGGUAGAAUUCCCGGUGUAGCGGUGAAAUGCGUAGAGAUCGGGAGGAAUACCAGUGGCGAAGGCGGCCUUCUGGACUGACACUGACACUGAGGUGCGAAAGCGUGGGUAGCAAACAGGAUUAGAUACCCGGGUAGUC